CCUUCCGGAGCCGACGAGUGGCGGACGGGUGAGUAACGCGUAAGAAUCUGCCUUAUAGUGGGGGACAACGUGGGGAAACCCACGCUAAUACCGCAUACGCCCUACGGGGGAAAGGAGGGGAUCUUCGGACCUUUCGCUAUGAGAUGAGCCUGCGUUAGAUUAGCUAGUUGGUAGGGUAAAGGCCUACCAAGGCGACGAUCUAUAGCUGGUCUGAGAGGACGAUCAGCCACACUGGGACUGAGACACGGCCCAGACUCCUACGGGAGGCAGCAGUGGGGAAUAUUGGACAAUGGGCGGAAGCCUGAUCCAGCAAUACCGCGUGUGUGAAGAAGGCCUUAGGGUUGUAAAGCACUUUCAAUUGGGAGGAAAACCUGUCGGUCAAUACCCGGCAGCUUGACAUUACCUUUAGAAGAAGCACCGGCUAACUCCGUGCCAGCAGCCGCGGUAAUACGGAGGGUGCGAGCGUUAAUCGGAAUUACUGGGCGUAAAGCGUGCGUAGGCGGUUCGUUAAGUCAGAUGUGAAAGCCCUGGGCUCAACCUGGGAACUGCAUUUGAAACUGGCGGACUAGAGUUUAGUAGAGGGGAGUGGAAUUUCAGGUGUAGCGGUGAAAUGCGUAGAUAUCUGAAGGAACACCAGUGGCGAAGGCGACUCCCUGGACUAGAACUGACGCUGAGGUACGAAAGCGUGGGUAGCAAACAGGAUUAGAUACCCUGGUAGUCCACGCCGUAAACGAUGUCGACUAGCCGUUGGUCCUAUUUACAGGAUUAGUGGCGCAGCUAACGCAUUAAGUCAACCGCCUGGGGAGUACGGCCGCAAGGUUAAAACUCAAAUGAAUUGACGGGGGCCCGCACAAGCGGUGGAGCAUGUGGUUUAAUUCGAUGCAUCGCGAAGAACCUUACCUACCCUUGACAUCCAAUGAAUC
Molecule: ribosomal RNA, 923 nt
Filed under: uncultured bacterium
Lineage: Bacteria
Description: bacterial SSU rRNA
Rfam family: Bacterial small subunit ribosomal RNA
Source: RNAcentral